AGCGGAAAAGCAAUUUUAAUUGCAUCUUGGUUUCGGCCCGGGAAGAGCCCACAGCGUUCCGUUU
Molecule: transfer RNA, 64 nt
Filed under: Osedax rubiplumus
Lineage: Eukaryota; Metazoa; Annelida; Polychaeta; Sabellida; Siboglinidae
Description: tRNA-Arg
Source: RNAcentral